GACAGAAGGUGCAAACGUUGCUCGGAAUCACUGGGCGUAAAGGGCGCGUAGGCGGCGCGGUAAGUCACUUGUGAAAUCUCUGAGCUUAACUCAGAACGGCCAAGUGAUACUGCAGUGCUAGAGUGCAGAAGGGGCAAUCGGAAUUCUUGGUGUAGCGGUGAAAUGCGUAGAUAUCAAGAAGAACACCCGUGGCGAAGGCGGCUCUCUGGGACGGUACUGACGCUGAGACGCGAAAGCGUGGGGAGCGAACAGG
Molecule: ribosomal RNA, 253 nt
Filed under: uncultured bacterium
Lineage: Bacteria
Description: partial 16S ribosomal RNA
Rfam family: Bacterial small subunit ribosomal RNA
Source: RNAcentral